CAAGCCCUGAUGCAGCCAUGCCGCGUGUGUGAAGAAGGCCUUCGGGUUGUAAAGCACUUUCAGUCAGGAGGAAAGGUUAGUAGUUAAUACCUGCUAGCUGUGACGUUACUGACAGAAGAAGCACCGGCUAACUCCGUGCCAGCAGCCGCGGUAAUACGGAGGGUGCGAGCGUUAAUCGGAAUUACUGGGCGUAAAGCGUACGCAGGCGGUUUGUUAAGCGAGAUGUGAAAGCCCCGGGCUCAACCUGGGAACUGCAUUUCGAACUGGCAAACUASAGUGUGAUAGAGGGUGGYAGAAUUUCAGGUGUAGCGGUGAAAUGCGUASAGAUCUGAAGGAAUACCGAUGGCGAAGGCAGCCACCUGGGUCAACACUGACGCUCAUGUACGAAAGCGUGGGGAGCAAACGGGAUUAGAUACCCCGGUAGUCCACGCCGUAAACGAUGUCUACUASAAGCUCGGAGCCUCGGUUCUGUUUUUCAAAGCUAACGCAUUAAGUAGACCGCCUGGGGAGUACGGCCGCAAGGUUAAAACUCAAAUGAAUUGACGGGGGCCCGCACAAGCGGUGGAGCAUGUGGUUUAAUUCGAUGCAACGCGAAGAACC
Molecule: ribosomal RNA, 600 nt
Filed under: Pseudoalteromonas sp. Prot3
Lineage: Bacteria; Pseudomonadati; Pseudomonadota; Gammaproteobacteria; Alteromonadales; Pseudoalteromonadaceae
Description: bacterial SSU rRNA
Rfam family: Bacterial small subunit ribosomal RNA
Source: RNAcentral